UGCCCGGUCGUCUAAUGGCAGGACAACGGACUCUGAAUCCGUUUAUCUUGGUUCGAAUCCAAGCUGGGCAGCCU
RNAcentral lists this transfer RNA (74 nucleotides) under Candidatus Roizmanbacteria bacterium CG_4_10_14_0_2_um_filter_39_13. RNAcentral's name for it is "tRNA-Gln". It matches the Rfam family "tRNA". From Rfam's summary of the family: Transfer RNA (tRNA) molecules are approximately 80 nucleotides in length. Their secondary structure includes four short double-helical elements and three loops (D, anti-codon, and T loops). Further hydrogen bonds mediate the characteristic L-shaped molecular structure. tRNAs have two regions of fundamental functional importance: the anti-codon, which is responsible for specific mRNA codon recognition, and the 3' end, to which the tRNAs corresponding amino acid is attached (by aminoacyl-tRNA synthetases). tRNAs cope with the degeneracy of the genetic code in two manners: having more than one tRNA (with a specific anti-codon) for a particular amino acid; and 'wobble' base-pairing, i.e. permitting non-standard base-pairing at the 3rd anti-codon position. The record is from RNAcentral. Lineage: Bacteria; Candidatus Roizmaniibacteriota.